Molecule: ribosomal RNA, 2864 nt
Filed under: seawater metagenome
Description: bacterial LSU rRNA
Rfam family: Bacterial large subunit ribosomal RNA
Source: RNAcentral
UCAAGCUACUAAGUGCAAUUGGUGGAUGCCUUGGUGCCAAGAGGCGAUGAAGGACGUAGCAAGCUGCGAUAAGCCACGGUUAGCCGCAAGCAGGCUUUGACCCGUGGAUUUCCCAAUGGGACAACCCGGCUACCCCUCAAAGGUAGUCAUCUACAGAUGAAUGAAUAGUCUGUAGAAGCAACACGGGGUGAAGUGAAACAUCUCAGUACCCCCAGGAAAAGAAAAUGAAAUGAUUCCGUAAGUAGUGGCGAGCGAAAGCGGAGGAGCCCAAACCAGAGAAACUUGUUUCUCUGGGGUUGUGGGACCUCGAUAUGGGACCGCGAAGGUGAGUGUAAUGAACUGGAAAGUUCAACCAGAGACCGUGACAGUCGGGUGCGCGAAGCCAGAGUGGCCCUAGGGGUAUCCCAAGUAAUGCGGAACACGUGAAACUCUGCAUGAAUCUGUCCAGACCACUGGAUAAGGCUAAAUACUACUUGGCAACCGAUAGUGAACUAGUACCGUGAGGGAAAGGUGAAAAGAACCCCUGUUAGGGGAGUGAAAUAGUACCUGAAACCAAUUGCAUACAAAGUGUUGGAGUUCGGCUUCGGCCGGAUGACAGCGUGCCUUUUGCAUAAUGAGUCUGCGAGUUAUUGUCUGUGGCGAGCCUAAAUUUCUCUGAAAUGGAGGCGAAGCGAAAGCGAGUGUGAAAUGCGCGUUUAGUGGCAGGCGAUAGACCCGAAGCGGAGGUGAUCUACUCAUGAGCAGGUUGAAGCUGCGGUAACACGCAGUGAAGGACCGAACCGGUGUAUGUUGAAAAAUGCUCGGAUGACUUGUGAGUAGGAGCGAAAGACUAAUCAAACCCCGUGAUAGCUGGUUCUCUCCGAAAUAGCUUGAGGGCUAGCGUCGGAUAAGUACUCCAAGGAGGUAGAGCGCUGGAUGGACUAGGGCCCAUACCCGGGUACCAAAACCAAUCAAACUCCGAAUGCCUUGGAUCCCAUUAUUCCGGCAGUCAGUCGGCGAGGGAUAAGCUUCGUCGGCGCGAGGGAAACAUCCCAGACCGCCAGCUAAGGUGCCUAAAUAUGAUUAAGUGGAAAGGAUGUGACGUUGCUUAGACAGUGAGGAUGUUGGCUUAGAGGCAGCCACCAUUUAAACAAUGCGUAAUAGCUGACUCAUCGAGCGAUGUUGCGCCGAAAAUGAUUGGCGAUUAAAUCAUAUACCGAAGCUGCGGAUUUGCAGGGGAUUCGUCCCCUGUAAGUGGUAGGAGAGCGUAAUCAGUGCUGUGAAGCUAGACGGUAACGGAAAGUGGAGCGCUGAUUAGUGAGAAUGCAGACAUGAGUAGCGAUUAGCCAGAUGAGAAUUCUGGCCGCCGUAUACCCAAGGUUUCCUGGGCCAGGUUCGUCCUCCCAGGGUUAGUCGGGACCUAAGGCGAGGCCGUAAGGCGUAGUCGAUGGACAGCAGUUCAAUAUUCCUGCACCGGCUUGAGGUUAGUUGACAGUGACGCGGUGAGAAAAGUGGCUAAGUCAUCGAAAGACAGAGCUUAGACUUCGGUCGAAGCGUACCACUGGACGAUCCGCCGAGAAAAGCUAGUUAACAUGUGCCUCUUGUCGCCCGUACCGUAAACCGACACAGGUGGGUGAGUCGAGUAGACUAAGGCGCGCGAGAGAAACCACUCUAAGGAACUCGGCAAAAUAGCCCCGUAACUUCGGGAGAAGGGGUGCCUACUUCGGUAGGCCACAGUAAAUUGGGUCUGGCGACUGUUUAACAAAAACACAGCACUCUGCUAAGUCGUGAAGACGACGUAUAGGGUGUGACACGUGACCAAUGCCGAAAGAUUAAGGUGACUUGUUAGCCGUAAGGCGAAGCUCGGAGCUGAAGUCCCGGUGAAUGUCGGCCGUAACUAUAACGGUCCUAAGGUAGCGAAAUUCCUUGUCGGGUAAGUUCCGACCUGCACGAAUCGUGUAACGACCGGACCGCUGUCUCGGAGUGGUUCUCGGCGAAAUUGUAGUGGCGGUGAAGAUGCCGCCUGCCCGCAGUAGGACGGAAAGACCCUAUGCACCUUUACUAUAAGCUGGUAUUGGGUUCUGGUCUUUGAUGCGUAGCAUAGGUGGGAGACGUUGAAUUGGCGGUUUCGGUCGUCAAGGAGUCAUCAGUGAAAUACCACUCUUUAAUGAUUAGGAUUCUAACCCCAACCCUGUUAGCCAGGUGGGGGACAGUGCCUGCGGGUUAGUUUGACUGGGGCGGUUUCCUCCUAAAAAGUAACGGAGGAGCGCGAAGGUACUCUCAGCACGGUUGGCAACCGUGCGUCGAGCGUAUGGGUAUAAGAGUGCUUAACUGUGAGACCUACAAGUCGAGCAGAUGCGAAAGCAGGCCCAAGUGAUCCGAUGGUUGAAUGUGGAAUUGCCAUCGCUCAACGGACAAAAGGUACGCUAGGGAUAACAGGCUGAUCGCGCCCAAGAGUUCAUAUCGACGGCGCGGUUUGGCACCUCGAUGUCGGCUCAUCGCAUCCUGGGGCUGGAGAAGGUCCCAAGGGUCCGGCUGUUCGCCGGUUAAAGCGGUACGCGAGCUGGGUUCAGAACGUCGUGAGACAGUUCGGUCCUUAUCCACUGUGGGCGUAGGAAACUUGAGGGGUUCAUUCUCUAGUACGAGAGGACCGAGAAUGACGCACUUCUGGUGUGGCAGUUGUUCCGUCAGGGGCAGCGCUGCGUAGCCAAGUGCGGAAGAGAUAAGCGCUGAAAGCAUCUAAGUGCCAAGCUCCUCCCAAGAUAAGGUUUCCCGGACGCAAGUCCCUUAAGACCCCCGGAAGACUACCGGGUUGAUAGGUCAGGCGUGUAAGCGUGGCAACAUGUUUAGCGGACUGAUACUAAUCGGUCGUGAGGCUUGAUCGC